GAUGAACGCUGGCGGCGUGCCUAAUACAUGCAAGUCGAGCGAACAGACGAGGAGCUUGCUCCUCUGACGUUAGCGGCGGACGGGUGAGUAACACGUGGAUAACCUACCUAUAAGACUGGGAUAACUUCGGGAAACCGGAGCUAAUACCGGAUAAUAUAUUGAACCGCAUGGUUCAAUAGUGAAAGACGGUUUUGCUGUCACUUAUAGAUGGAUCCGCGCCGCAUUAGCUAGUUGGUAAGGUAACGGCUUACCAAGGCAACGAUGCGUAGCCGACCUGAGAGGGUGAUCGGCCACACUGGAACUGAGACACGGUCCAGACUCCUACGGGAGGCAGCAGUAGGGAAUCUUCCGCGAUGGGCGAAAGCCUGACGGAGCAACGCCGCGUGAGUGAUGAAGGGCUUCGGAUCGUAAAACUCUGUUAUUAGGGAAGAACAAAUGUGUAAGUAACUAUGCACGUCUUGACGGUACCUAAUCAGAAAGCCACGGCUAACUACGU
RNAcentral lists this ribosomal RNA (496 nucleotides) under uncultured bacterium. RNAcentral's name for it is "partial 16S ribosomal RNA". It matches the Rfam family "Bacterial small subunit ribosomal RNA", at positions 28 to 506 of the family's 1533-position model. The record is from RNAcentral.